RNAcentral lists this ribosomal RNA (273 nucleotides) under uncultured bacterium. RNAcentral's name for it is "partial 16S ribosomal RNA". It matches the Rfam family "Bacterial small subunit ribosomal RNA", at positions 524 to 796 of the family's 1533-position model. The record is from RNAcentral.
UACGGAGGGUGCAAGCGUUAAUCGGAUUUACUGGGCGUAAAGCGUGCGUAGGCGGCAUGUUAAGUCAGAUGUGAAAUCCCAGGGCUCAACCUGGGAACUGCAUCUCAUACUGCCAGGCUAGAGUAUGAUAGAGGGAAGUGGAAUUCCAGGUGUAGCGGUGAAAUGCGUAGAUAUCUGGAGGAACAUCAGUGGCGAAGGCGACUUCCUGGAUCAAUACUGACGCUGAGGUGCGAAAGCGUGGGGAGCAAACAGGAUUAGAUACCCGCGUAGUCC